RNAcentral lists this ribosomal RNA (253 nucleotides) under uncultured bacterium. RNAcentral describes it as "partial 16S ribosomal RNA". It matches the Rfam family "Bacterial small subunit ribosomal RNA", at positions 524 to 776 of the family's 1533-position model. The record is from RNAcentral.
UACGAAGGAUCCAAGCGUUAUCCGGAUUUAUUGGGUUUAAAGGGUGCGUAGGCGGGCUAUUAAGUCAGUGGUGAAAGCCCCAAGCUUAACUUGGGAACUGCCAUUGAUACUGAUGGUCUUGAGUACAUUUGAGGUGGGCGGAAUGUGUCAUGUAGCGGUGAAAUGCUUAGAUAUGACACAGGACAUCGAUUGCGAAGGCAGCUCACUAAACUGUAACUGACGCUGAGGCACGAAAGCGUGGGGAGCAAACAGG